This 358-nucleotide unclassified non-coding RNA is filed under the name soil metagenome. Its description in RNAcentral is "partial contains 5.8S ribosomal RNA, internal transcribed spacer 2, and large subunit ribosomal RNA". The stretch from base 1 to 120 matches the Rfam family "5.8S ribosomal RNA", at positions 35 to 154 of the family's 154-position model. The record is from RNAcentral.
GAUGAAGAACGUAGCGAAAUGCGAUAAGUAAUGUGAAUUGCAGAAUUCAGUGAAUCAUCGAAUCUUUGAACGCACAUUGCGCCCGUCAGUAUUCUGGCGGGCAUGCCUGUUCGAGCGUCAUUACGCCCCUCAAGUCCCCUGUGGACUUGGUGUUGGGGAUCGGCGAGGCUGGUUUUCCAGCACAGCCGUCCCUUAAAUUAAUUGGCGGUCUCGCCGUGGCACUCCUCUGCGCAGUAGUAAAACACUCGCAACAGGAGCCCGGCGCGGUCCACUGCCGUAAAACCCCCCAACUUUUUAUAGUUGACCUCGAAUCAGGUAGGACUACCCGCUGAACUUAAGCAUAUCAAUAAGCGGAGGA